This 254-nucleotide ribosomal RNA is filed under the name uncultured bacterium. RNAcentral describes it as "partial 16S ribosomal RNA". It matches the Rfam family "Bacterial small subunit ribosomal RNA", at positions 526 to 779 of the family's 1533-position model. The record is from RNAcentral.
CGGAGGGAGCUAGCGUUGUUCGGAAUUACUGGGCGUAAAGCGCACGUAGGCGGCUUUGUAAGUUAGAGGUGAAAGCCUGGAGCUCAACUCCAGAAUUGCCUUUGAUACUGCAUGGCUUGAAUCCAGGAGAGGUGAGUGGAAUUCCGAGUGUAGAGGUGAAAUUCGUAGAUAUUCGGAAGAACACCAGUGGCGAAGGCGGCUCACUGGACUGGUAUUGACGCUGAGGUGCGAAAGCAUGGGGAGCAAACAGGAUU